GAUGAAGAACGUAGCGAAAUGCGAUAAGUAGUGUGAAUUGCAGAAUUCAGUGAAUCAUCGAAUCUUUGAACGCACAUUGCGCCCCUUGGUAUCCCGAGGGGCAUGCCUGUUCGAGCGUCAUUUCACCACUCAAGCCUGGCUUGGUGUUGGGCGACGUCCCCUUUGGGGACGCGCCUCGAAACGCUCGGCGGCGCGGCACCGGCUUUAAGCGUAGCAGAAUCUUUCGCUUUGGAAGUCGGGGCCCCGUCUGCCGGAAGACCUACUCGCAAGGUUGACCUCGGAUCAGGCAGGGAUACCCGCUGAACUUAAGCAUAUCAAUAAGCGGAGGA
RNAcentral lists this unclassified non-coding RNA (329 nucleotides) under soil metagenome. RNAcentral describes it as "partial contains 5.8S ribosomal RNA, internal transcribed spacer 2, and large subunit ribosomal RNA". The stretch from base 1 to 120 matches the Rfam family "5.8S ribosomal RNA", at positions 35 to 154 of the family's 154-position model. The record is from RNAcentral.